Molecule: ribosomal RNA, 305 nt
Filed under: uncultured bacterium
Lineage: Bacteria
Description: bacterial SSU rRNA
Rfam family: Bacterial small subunit ribosomal RNA
Source: RNAcentral
UAACCUACGGGAGGCAGCAGUGAGGAAUAUUGGUCAAUGGGCUUACGCCUGAACCAGCCAAGUCGCGUGAGGGAAGACUGCCCUAUGGGUUGUAAACCUCUUUUGUCAGGGAGCAACGCCGGCUACGUGUAGCCGGACUGAGAGUACCUGAAGAAAAAGCAUCGGCUAACUACGUGCCAGCAGCCGCGGUAAUACGGAGGAUGCGCGCGUUAUCCGUAUUUAUUGGGUUUAAAGGGUGCGUAGGCGGAAUGCCAAGUCAGCGGUAAAAUCGCGGGGCUAAACCUCGCUCCGCCGUUGAAACUGCG